UACGUAGGUGGCGAGCGUUGUCCGGAUUUACUGGGCGUAAAGAGCGCGCAGGCGGUCGUUCAAGUCGAGUGUGAAAGCCCCCGGCUCAACUGGGGAGGGUCACUCGAUACUGAUCGACUCGAAGGCAGGAGAGGGAAGUGGAAUUCCCGGUGUAGUGGUGAAAUGCGUAGAUAUCGGGAGGAACACCAGUGGCGAAGGCGACUUCCUGGCCUGUUCUUGACGCUGAGGCGCGAAAGCCAGGGGAGCAAACGGG
Molecule: ribosomal RNA, 253 nt
Filed under: uncultured bacterium
Lineage: Bacteria
Description: partial 16S ribosomal RNA
Rfam family: Bacterial small subunit ribosomal RNA
Source: RNAcentral